CUGACGGAACAUGUAACACGUACAGUGUCUUUUAGAGGUAAGGGUGGACACCCUCCUCUGGGUCCAGUGGUACUGGUUUCCAGGACGCAAACGCAAUGGAUCGUUCAUGUUCCCAUUCAUUAAGAUGACAACCGUUUGACACUUGAUGCUGUGUUCUGAGAGUGACCGUUCGUUUAUAAACAGGUGAACGUACUAGGGAUCGAUUCGUCGAUCGAACAGAUUUGUGAUUUUCAUUGUACAUUUUAAUCCAAGCAUCUGUUUAUGUAUACCAAAUUAAUGUAUUUGUGAACUCACUAAAACGCCAAAAUACCGCUGCUUUAAACAAUUAAAUGCAAUAUCAAGAGUGAGUAUUCGUCAGGUAAUAACGUACUAACUGCGGGUAACUAGAUGAUCAUUAUUCCAAACGUUGCUUUCUAGGCGCACAACAUUACGAUAUAUGUAGCAAUAUGUGUAGUGUGUGUUGUGAAUGUUAAUCCAUUGCCUCUACAUGCGGUGAGCGGCAUAAGGUGUUUCAAUGGAAAAGUAUCCCCUUACUGUAGAUACGUGUACCACCAUUACCUGAUACCUAAUGGUCGUGUACACACAACACGUGUGGUGCGAGUGUGACUAGAUAGCGUCGUCUUAAUCCGUAUUUCGGUUUAUCAGUAUUUCGAUUUAUCAUAGUGUAUAGUGUACACUGAACUUGCAUCAACUAAUUACAAUAAAUUAAGGGUAGUCAUCGAGCCAUAACAAAUAGCUGGAAGACCUUGAGUUGCGUGUGACGCUGUAGUGAAAAUUAUUUUUCGGCAUACGUCAUUUGUACGGCAUAUUGAUUAAACAAAAAGGGACAAAUAUAUUUGAAGAAACAACAUAUGGUAAUAAACACAAGCCAAACACCUUUUAUGAAAUGAUUGCUCGAUGACUACCCUUAACUCAACCAAAUCAUAGCAACAGUGUUUCAGUUCCUUCCAUACUCUGCAGACAUGGCCAUCCGAUCCCCAUUGGUUACAGGAGAGAAAUAUUAUCAUGGAAUCCGUACGGGAUCGGCCUUUUGAGCUUGUUGGAACUUUUAGGUGAUCCAGAAGCAUUGACAGAGGCCAGAGUUGCAGACAGUGAAUUCUUAGUUGCCAAAUAUUGAUAGAUGAAUUUUAGAUUUGUUUUCAAGCCAAAUAAUAGCUUGUUAGUUGGUGCCUUUAAUACAGAUUAUAGCAUUAGCUGCAUCCGUUUCCUCGAUGACUGCCUAUGUCUAAAAAAAUUAUCACUAUCUGGUUAUUAUAAUAUGUAAUUGAGGAAACAUUGUUUGCGUUUUAAACAUGUGGUACCGGCAGAAGAGAAUCUGCAUAUGCUCAUAUAGUGACAGGAAUGUUUGACGAUCUACACUAGCGGACAAAUAUACUAUCUAUCUGGUGUUAUUAGCACCGUGGAAAGACUGUUUUCAUAACACUAACAUACGUAUGAAUUUAGAGUCAACCUGUGAACUAUGCGCUCAGGAAACAAUGUAAAUGUAUUCUUUAGCCCAAUCAAAUUAUUAUUAAAUUUAUCGGGUACAUAUAUCACAGUGUAUUCUUUCUCAUCCCUUGAAAUUGCUGCACUAUAUAAUAUGAAUUUAAACCAGUUAGUAGCUGAGUCAUUGCAUGUGCGCUGAAAAUAGUAAUUGUGAGGAUGAACGAAAAUUUGAAAAAUAACGUUAAUAAUUGAAUUUAUCCGUUAUUUUAAGAAAACGUAAAUCUCAAACAUAUGAAAGUAUUAGUAGUAAAAACAAAACUGCGAGGUUCAAAUCUAGCCUGGUUUAAUGCCUGUGCAGUUUUUAUCAUUUUGUAAGAAUUUAAAGAAUUAUUUGCGUAGUGUGUGAAAAACACGCCGAGAACGGUUACUUUUGUCCGGUAGUGUACUGAGUCACUUCUUCCGUCAUUCAGGAGACGGUAGGGCAUGAUUAUAGAAUGAUGUAAUUUAUAAUGUACAGCUUUAUCUCAAUGUUGUGUCUGUGAUAUUCAUGUGAUAUAUAUAUCCCUGUUUAGAUACAAAGGAGGCAUUGACAGUAGCAUUGCCUAUAUCUCAUUUUCAAUGUGUAUGGUUGUGUUUAUUUAUUUUGUUGUAGUCGUACAGCCACUGGCAAACAACGUAAGAAAUUCAAAUGCCAAGAUUCCUUUCUCAGUGUCCCUGUGUAAAUCUAUACAGUGAAAACCCGUUAAUUCCUAUCAAAUCACCCGGAUGAAAAGACUUUCGGAUCUACGAAUCAUAUUGGAAUCUGUACUGUAUCGUCUCGACUAGUUUUCCAGAUAAUAGGGGUCCGAUUUAAUGAGUUUUUUGCUGUGUGCAAUGUGUUUGUGUAACGUCCGAAAAAGUGCUUGUCGAAAUAAAUGCGCAGAUAAGGUGCGCAUUUGACACUUUGCUUUUAUAUCAUGAAGACGCCCAUUGGUUGAUUGACGUCAUGUGGUUUGUAUUUAUUGAUUUUGUUUACUGGAAGUAUCGUAUUUCCCAAAUUUGAUUGGUAAACGUACAAUACCCAUUUUUAAGCUAUAAUCAUAAUUGUACGCUGUCGAUGAUGUAUACCCUCUCCAAAUUAUUUAUUUAUGCAGAGUAUAUUUUAAAAAGCCAUGUUUUAUCACAUCAUUGUUAACUUAUUUCAAUAUAUAUUUCGUGCAAAUUUUUAAAGGAUACUCGUCGAUUGUAUGUUGACCAUUAAGUGUUAUUCAUAGCAACCUUCAGACAAAAUGCCUUCAGAAUUGUUCUCAAUGUAUGCGUUAAAGUAAUGUCUGGUCUGACAUUAUGUCGUUAGGAAAUAAUAACUGUCAAUACAGAGGAAAUGUCGAGCAUUGUUGCAGUCUCGUAUAUUUGACCGACACGGUAGUUGAGUUUGGUUACAAUACAGUUGUUACAUAUCAAGUUGACCUCACGACGGUGGCCAUUUGUUUGUUGUAUACAAGUGUGUAUUUAUAUACGGCACCCAUAAUAAACAAACAAUACAUAA
RNAcentral lists this long non-coding RNA (2950 nucleotides) under Haliotis rubra (blacklip abalone). RNAcentral describes it as "uncharacterized LOC124280376". The record is from RNAcentral. Lineage: Eukaryota; Metazoa; Mollusca; Gastropoda; Lepetellida; Haliotidae.